Molecule: unclassified non-coding RNA, 286 nt
Filed under: Hevea brasiliensis (rubber tree)
Lineage: Eukaryota; Viridiplantae; Streptophyta; Magnoliopsida; Malpighiales; Euphorbiaceae
Source: RNAcentral
GAAAGAAGGAAGAAAAGGGAUAUUUUCAUUUUAUUUCAGAAUAUAAUGAAAUUGUUAAAACAGUUUCAAUGCAAGAUCACAAGUGAAUCUUGUGUAGCAAAAUGAGAAGUUUAAGAGGCCUACAAGCAUCUAAAUUACUAAACAAAUUGUGCUGUCCAUAUGUCUUGUCAUCUCAUUGGUCAAAGUAGAUGCACAAAGAUCUUAUAAAAUGAUCGCAGGAAUAAAAGAAAAAAUUUAAAACAAAAAAAGAGUUACUCCACAUAUGAAGUGGUGCAUUCUAUAGAAU